UACGAAGGGGGCUAGCGUUGUUCGGAAUUACUGGGCGUAAAGCGCAAGCAGGCGGAUUUAUAAGUCAGGGGUGAAAUCCCGGGGCUCAACCUCGGAAUUGCCCUUUAUACUGUCUAUCUUGAGUCCGGGAGAGGUGAGUGGAAUUCCUAGUGUAGAGGUGAAAUUCGUAGAUAUUAGGAAGAACACCAGAGGCGAAGGCGGCUCACUGGCCCGGUACUGACGCUCAUGUGCGAAAGCGUGGGGAGCAAACAGG
This 253-nucleotide ribosomal RNA is filed under the name uncultured bacterium. RNAcentral's name for it is "partial 16S ribosomal RNA". It matches the Rfam family "Bacterial small subunit ribosomal RNA", at positions 524 to 776 of the family's 1533-position model. The record is from RNAcentral.